This is a long non-coding RNA of Lutra lutra (Eurasian river otter), 580 nucleotides long. RefSeq lists it as uncharacterized. The transcript is spliced from 3 exons. Lineage: Eukaryota; Metazoa; Chordata; Mammalia; Carnivora; Mustelidae. The record is from RefSeq and is a predicted model, not a curated record.
GCAACGUAGCAGGGCGGACACUAGAGACUGAAGAGCCCAGGAUUCUAAUUCUGGCUCCGUCACUAACUAGCUGUGUGAUCCCGGGUAAACCUCUCCACAUCUCUAGAGACCAGAUUCCAGGGGUCUUCACUGUAAAAGGGAGGGGCUUUAGAGGAUUGGCCUCUAAGAGCCCUGCAAUGAUGCCAGUGUUCUUCCCACUAAUGCAUUUCUCUGGUGAAGGCAGUGUCCUCUGGAUCCUACCAAGGAACAUCAUGAGGCAGUUUUACCUUAUGAAACGGGUUGGAAUCCUCCACUAAAGAUUUUACUGCGUAAUAAGGGAGAACUGAAGGAUAUCAUUGGAAGCGAUGGGAAGCAAUGGUAUGACUUGGGAAACUGACCAUACCUACUAGAGCUGAUCAUAAUCAUAUGAGCAUGUGAUGACCUCACGAAGCUGUUCCCAGGAACACACCCAGUGGGCAGUUUUUUGGGUAUGUCUGCUCUCUAAAACCAUAUGCUAGGGUGUUAAUAACAGAACUAUCUAUAAUAGCCAAAUAACAGAAACAACCUAAAUGGCCAUGAGCAAUGAAAUUGACAGGUUAGA